UACGGGGGGGGCAAGCGUUGUUCGGAAUUACUGGGCGUAAAGGGCUCGUAGGUGGCCAACUCAGUCGGACGUGAAAUCCCUCGGCUUAACCGGGGAACUGCGUCCGAUACUGGAUGGCUUGAGAUCGGGAGAGGGAUGCGGAAUUCCAGGUGUAGCGGUGAAAUGCGUAGAUAUCUGGAGGAACACCGGUGGCGAAGGCGGCAUCCUGGACCGACACUGACGCUGAGGAGCGAAAGCCAGGGGAGCAAACGGG
Molecule: ribosomal RNA, 253 nt
Filed under: uncultured Acidobacteriota bacterium
Lineage: Bacteria; Pseudomonadati; Acidobacteriota
Description: uncultured Acidobacteria bacterium partial 16S ribosomal RNA
Rfam family: Bacterial small subunit ribosomal RNA
Source: RNAcentral